Molecule: long non-coding RNA, 241 nt
Organism: Oncorhynchus tshawytscha (Chinook salmon)
Lineage: Eukaryota; Metazoa; Chordata; Actinopteri; Salmoniformes; Salmonidae
Exons: 3
Source: RefSeq, a predicted model, not a curated record
ACAAACUUUUCAGCAGAGAUCCCAACGAUACACUGAGCACAAUACAGACUGGUUUCCUACAGGAUCACUUUGGAGGGGAUGCUGAGUGGAGAACGUCUCGGUCGAGGCCAACGCCAGGGGCUGAGUCAGAGCUGCGGUUAUCACUAGUACUUGAAGAAGAGCUGCGGUUAUCACUAGUACUUGAAGAAGAGCUGCGGUUAUCACUAGUACUUGAAGAAGAGCUGCGGUUAUCACUAGUACU